UGAGGUAACGGCCCACCAAGGCGACGAUCAGUAGCCGGCCUGAGAGGGUGACCGGCCACAUUGGGACUGAGACACGGCCCAGACUCCUACGGGAGGCAGCAGUGGGGAAUAUUGCACAAUGGAGGAAACUCUGAUGCAGCGACGCCGCGUGAGCGAAGAAGUAUCUCGGUAUGUAAACUUCUAUCAGCAGGGAAGAAAGUGACGGUACCUGACUAAGAAGCCCCGGCUAAUUAC
This 234-nucleotide ribosomal RNA is filed under the name uncultured bacterium. Its description in RNAcentral is "partial 16S ribosomal RNA". It matches the Rfam family "Bacterial small subunit ribosomal RNA", at positions 253 to 504 of the family's 1533-position model. The record is from RNAcentral.